This 333-nucleotide ribosomal RNA is filed under the name uncultured bacterium. RNAcentral describes it as "bacterial SSU rRNA". It matches the Rfam family "Bacterial small subunit ribosomal RNA", at positions 568 to 898 of the family's 1533-position model. The record is from RNAcentral.
CGUGUAGGCGGUCUUGAUUAGUCUGAUGUGAAAGCCCUGGGCUCAACCCAGGAAGUGCAUUGGAUACUGUCAGACUUGAAUACGGGAGAGGGUAGUGGAAUUCCUAGUGUAGGAGUGAAAUCCGUAGAUAUUAGGAGGAACACCGGUGGCGAAGGCGGCUACCUGGACCGAUAUUGACGCUGAGACGCGAAAGCGUGGGUAGCAAACAGGAUUAGAUACCCUGGUAGUCCACGCCGUAAACGAUGAGUACUAGGUGUUGCGGGUAUUGACCCCUGCAGUGCCGCAGCUAACGCAUUAAGUACUCCGCCUGGGAAGUACGGUCGCAAGACUAAA